GAUGAACGCUGGCGGCGUGCCUAAUACAUGCAAGUCGAGCGAACGGACGAGAAGCUUGCUUUUCUGAUGUUAGCGGCGGACGGGUGAGUAACACGUGGAUAACCUACCUAUAAGACUGGGAUAACUUCGGGAAACCGGAGCUAAUACCGGAUAAUAUUUUGAACCGCAUGGUUCAAAAGUGAAAGACGUUCUUGCUGUCACUUAUAGAUGGAUCCGCGCUGCAUUAGCUAGUUGGUAAGGUAACGGCUUACCAAGGCAACGAUGCAUAGCCGACCUGAGAGGGUGAUCGGCCACACUGGAACUGAGACACGGUCCAGACUCCUACGGGAGGCAGCAGUAGGGAAUAUUCCGCAAUGGGCGAAAGCCUGACGGAGCAACGCCGCGUGAGUGAUGAAGGUCUUCGGAUCGUAAAACUCUGUUAUUAGGGAAGAACAUAUGUGUAAGUAACUGUGCACAUCUUGACGGUACCUAAUCAGAAAGCCACGGCUAACUACGUG
Molecule: ribosomal RNA, 497 nt
Filed under: uncultured bacterium
Lineage: Bacteria
Description: partial 16S ribosomal RNA
Rfam family: Bacterial small subunit ribosomal RNA
Source: RNAcentral